Molecule: ribosomal RNA, 407 nt
Filed under: uncultured Ralstonia sp.
Lineage: Bacteria; Pseudomonadati; Pseudomonadota; Betaproteobacteria; Burkholderiales; Burkholderiaceae
Description: bacterial SSU rRNA
Rfam family: Bacterial small subunit ribosomal RNA
Source: RNAcentral
CAGCAGCCGCCGUAAUACGUAGGGUNCAAGCGUUAAUCGGAAUUACUGGGCGUAAAGCGUGCGCAGGCGGUUGUGCAAGACNGAUGUGAAAUCCCCGRGCUUAACUUGGGAAUUGCAUUGGUGACUGCACGGCUAGAGUGUGUCAGAGGGGGGUAGAAUUCCACGUGUAGCAGUGAAAUGCGUAGAGAUGUGGAGGAAUACCGAUGGCGAAGGCAGCCCCCUGGGAUAACACUGACGCUCAUGCACGAAAGCGUGGGGAGCAAACAGGAUUAGAUACCCUGGUAGUCCACGCCCUAAACGAUGUCAACUAGUUGUUGGGGAUUCAUUUCCUUAGUAACGUAGCUAACGCGUGAAGUUGACCGCCUGGGGAGUACGGUCGCAAGAUUAAAACUCAAAGGAAUUGACGG